GACGAACGCUGGCGGCGUGCCUAAUACAUGCAAGUUGAGCGCUGAAGGUUGGUACUUGUACCAACUGGAUGAGCAGCGAACGGGUGAGUAACGCGUGGGGAAUCUGCCUUUGAGCGGGGGACAACAUUUGGAAACGAAUGCUAAUACCGCAUAAAAACUUUAAACACAAGUUUUAAGUUUGAAAGAUGCAAUUGCAUCACUCAAAGAUGAUCCCGCGUUGUAUUAGCUAGUUGGUGAGGUAAAGGCUCACCAAGGCGAUGAUACAUAGCCGACCUGAGAGGGUGAUCGGCCGCAUUGGGACUGAGACACGGCCCAAACUCCUACGGGAGGCAGCAGUAGGGAAUCUUCGGCAAUGGACGAAAGUCUGACCGAGCAACGCCGCGUGAGUGAAGAAGGUUUUCGGAUCGUAAAACUCUGUUGGUAGAGAAGAACGUUGGUGAGAGUGGAAAGCUCAUCAAGUGACGGUAACUACCCAGAAAGGGACGGCUAACCACGUG
This 497-nucleotide ribosomal RNA is filed under the name uncultured bacterium. RNAcentral describes it as "partial 16S ribosomal RNA". It matches the Rfam family "Bacterial small subunit ribosomal RNA", at positions 28 to 507 of the family's 1533-position model. The record is from RNAcentral.